Molecule: non-coding RNA, 25 nt
Filed under: Cricetulus griseus (Chinese hamster)
Lineage: Eukaryota; Metazoa; Chordata; Mammalia; Rodentia; Cricetidae
Source: RNAcentral
CUAAAAACAGAUGGCAAAUUGCGGU